Molecule: microRNA, 20 nt
Filed under: Panine betaherpesvirus 2 (Chimpanzee cytomegalovirus)
Lineage: Duplodnaviria; Heunggongvirae; Peploviricota; Herviviricetes; Herpesvirales; Orthoherpesviridae
Description: miR-US4-3p
Source: RNAcentral
CAACAGCCCCGUACACCUCC